UCAAAUAUAAAAUAAAUCUGUUUUUUAUUUUUACCUUUAUCUAUUUUCUUUGCCUCGACGUACAUGAAAAAAUAAAAUAAAAUAAAAAAAGUCUUAGAAAAAGUGGAUGUCUAGACGUAAGGAGUACGUGUGUAGACGUGGGAGUUAAUAUUGUGGGGGAGGUGGCUUUGGUUCUAUUAUAUAAGCAGGAGCAACAGCCCUCGAGAGAAUUACUACACGAACAGAGAAGGAAGCAGCUGAUCCUGAAGAGCAAGUAUCUAGCCUGUUAAAGAGAAUUAAUUAGCAGUUAAUCAGUCAAUCGAUCAAGAAGAUGUCAAGUACUAACUUCAUAGACAUCUUGCUGGCCAUCAUCUUGCCUCCUCUCGGUGUCUUCCUCAAGUUUGGUUGCGGGGCGGAGUUUUGGAUCUGCUUGCUGCUUACCAUUUUAGGUUACAUCCCUGGAAUCAUUUAUGCCGUCUAUAUCAUUACCAAGUGAUCGAUAUCACCCUCUUCUUCAUGAUCUCUUGUUAACAGCAGGUGGAGAGACACAGUACCGUUUGAUCCAAUAAAAGAGUUCCUGGCCGUCUGAUUCAAUGAAGAGCUCCUGAUUUUGUGUGGAGGCGGAUGAUUAUAUACACUCCCUUUUCAUAAUUGUUUUUCUUUUUAAUGUAUUAAUUGAUAUUUUGUAAUUAAAUGAGGUUAGCAGCCCUUAAUAUUGCUGAGUGCCUUAUCAUGCAUGCAUGGCCUGGUUAAUUAGCAAGUCUCUUUCGUUCUUAAUCUCUCUGUCUUUGCUGUGGACAUCCGAAUUUGUUUUAAUUAGUUAAUGGGAUUGUCAAUCU
Populus euphratica (Euphrates poplar) is the source of this 818-nucleotide long non-coding RNA. RefSeq lists it as uncharacterized. The record is from RefSeq and is a predicted model, not a curated record. NCBI's taxonomy places the organism in Eukaryota, Viridiplantae, Streptophyta, Magnoliopsida, Malpighiales, Salicaceae. The transcript has 3 exons.